UAAUGUAUGGGGAUCUGCCCGAUAGAAGGGGAUAACUACUGGAAACGGUGGCUAAUACCGCAUAAUGUCUACGGACCAAAGCAGGGGCUCUUCGGACCUUGCACUAUCGGAUGAACCCAUAUGGGAUUAGCUAGUAGGUGGGGUAAAGGCUCACCUAGGCGACGAUCUCUAGCUGGUCUGAGAGGAUGAUCAGCCACGCUGGGACUGAGACACGGCCCAG
Molecule: ribosomal RNA, 220 nt
Filed under: uncultured bacterium
Lineage: Bacteria
Description: partial 16S ribosomal RNA
Rfam family: Bacterial small subunit ribosomal RNA
Source: RNAcentral